GAUCCUGGCUCAGAGCGAACGUUAGCGGCAGGCUUAACACAUGCAAGUCGAGCGAGAAAGGGGCUUCGGCUCCGAGUAAAGCGGCGGACGGGUGCGUAACACGUGGAUAAUCUGCCUCGUGCGGGGGACAACAGUCCGAAAGGACUGCUAAUACCGCAUGUCAGGUCGGAAACUCCGGUUUCUGACGAAAAAGAGGGCGUCCGCAAGGAGCUCUCACCACGAGAUGAGUCCGCGUCCCAUCAGCUAGUUGGCGGUGUAAUGGACCACCAAGGCUUAGACGGGUAGCUGGUCUGAGAGGAUGACCAGCCACACUGGGACUGAGACACGGCCCAGACUCCUACGGGAGGCAGCAGUGGGGAAUAUUGGACAAUGGGCGAAAGCCUGAUCCAGCCAUGCCGCGUGAGUGAUGAAGGCCUUCGGGUCGUAAAGCUCUGUGGGGAGGGAC
RNAcentral lists this ribosomal RNA (445 nucleotides) under uncultured bacterium. Its description in RNAcentral is "bacterial SSU rRNA". It matches the Rfam family "Bacterial small subunit ribosomal RNA", at positions 15 to 446 of the family's 1533-position model. The record is from RNAcentral.